Molecule: long non-coding RNA, 4415 nt
Filed under: Citrus x clementina
Lineage: Eukaryota; Viridiplantae; Streptophyta; Magnoliopsida; Sapindales; Rutaceae
Description: Citrus clementina (C. clementina) long non-coding RNA (CCLE_LNC000655)
Source: RNAcentral
AACGGGUGGGCUAUAGCCUUGGUGGGGGGCGCGGGCGAAGUUCGUCCGCCGGACUCGGAAUGGGGCGAGACUUUGCGAGGGGCCUCGGGGUGCCAAAAAUAAGCCGCGGGCAAGGCCGCGCCCAAAAAUAAGCGCCCGAAGGUCGUGGUGCCAAAACCCCCCAGCGGAAAUUGCCAAAAACGGGUGGGCUAUAGCCUUGGUGGGGGGUGCGGGCGAAGUUCGUCCGCCGGACUCGGAAUGGGGCGAGACUUUGCGAGGGGCCUCGGGGUGCCCGCGGGAAGUCGCGGGCACAGCCGUGCCCAAAAAUAAGCGCCCGAAGGUCGUGGUGCCAAAACCCCCCAGCGGAAAAAUGGCCAAAAAACGGGUGGGCUAUAGCCCUGGUGGGGGGCGCGGGCGAUGUUCGUCCGCCGGACUCGGAAUGGGGCGAGACUUUGCGAGGGGCCUCGGGGCACCAAAAAUAAGCCGCGGGCAAAGCCGUGCCCAAAAAUAAGCACCCGAAGGUCGUGGUCCCAAAACCCCCCAGCGGAAAAAUGGCCAAAAAACGGGUGGGCUAUAGCCUUGGUGGGGGGCGCGGGUGAAGUUCGUCCGCCGGACUCGGAAUGGGGCGAGACUUUGCUCGGGGCCUCGGGGCACCAAAAAUAAACCGCGAGCAAAGCCGCGCCCAAAAAUAAGCGCCCGAAGGUCGUGGUGCCAAAACCCCCCAGCGGAAAAAUGGCCAAAAAACGGGUGGGCUAUAGCCUUGGUGGGGGGCGCGGGCGAAGUUCGUCCGCCGGACUCGGAAUGGGGCGAGACUUUGCGAGGGGCCUCGGGGCACCAAAAAUAAGCCGCGGGCAAAGCCGUGCCCAAAAAUAAGCGCCCGAAGGUCGUGGUCCCAAAACCCCCCAGCGGAAAAAUGGCCAAAAAACGGGUGGGCUAUAGCCUUGGUGGGGGGCGCGGGUGAAAUUCGUCCGCCGGACUCGGAAUGGGGCGAGACUUUGCUCGGGGCCUCGGGGCGUCAAAAAUAACCCGCGGGCAAAGCCGCGCCCAAAAAUAAGCGCCCGAAGGUCGUGGUACCAAACCCCCCCAGCAGAAUAAUGGCCCAAAAACGGGUGGGCUAUAGCCUUGGUGGGGGGCGCGGGCGAAGUUCGUCCGCCGGACUCGGAAUGGGGCGAGACUUUGCGAGGGGCCUCGGGGUGCCCGCGGGAAGUCGCGGGCACAGCCGCGUCCAAAAAUAAGCGCCCGAAGGUCGUGGUGCCAAAACCCCCCAGCGGAAAAAUGGCCAAAAAACGGGUGGGCUAUAGCCUUGGUGGGGGGCGCGGGCGAAGUUCGUCCGCCGGACUCGGAAUGGGGCGAGACUUUGCGAGGGGCCUCGGGGUGCCCGCGGGAAGCCGCGGGCACGGCCGCGUCCAAAAAUAAGCGCCCGAAGGUCGUGGUGCCAAAACCCCCCAGCGGAAAAAUGGCCAAAAAACGGGUGGGCUAUAGCCUUGGUGGGGGGCGCGGGCGAAGUUCGUCCGCCGGACUCGGAAUGGGGCGAGACUUUGCGAGGGGCCUCGGGGCACCAAAAAUAAGCCGCGGGCAAAGCCGCGUCCAGAAAUAAGCGCCCGAAGGUCGUGGUGCCAAAACCCCCCAGCGGAAAAAAGGCCAAAAAACGGGUGGGCUAUAGCCUUGGUGGGGGGCGCGGGCGAAGUUCGUCCGCCGGACUCGGAAUGGGGCGAGACUUUGCGAGGGGGCUCGGGGAGCCCGCAGGAAGUCGCGGGCACAGCCGCGUCCAGAAAUAAGCGCCCGAAGGUCGUGGUGCCAAAACCCCCCAGCGGAAAAAUGGCCAAAAAACGGGUGGGCUAUAGCCUUGGUGGGGGGCGCGGGCGAAGUUCGUCCGCCGGACUCGGAAUGGGACGAGACUUUGCGAGGGGCCUCGGGGCACCAAAAAUAAGCCGCGGGCAAAGCCGCGCCCAAAAAUAAGCGCCCGAAGGUCGUGGUGCCAAAACCCCCCGGCGGAAAAAUGGCCAAAAAACGGGUGGGCUAUAGCCUUGGUGGGGGGGGCGGGCGAAGUUCGUCCGACGGACUCGGAAUGGGGCGAGACCUUGCGCGGGGCCUCGGGGCGCCAAAAAUAAGCCGCGGGCAAAGCCGCGCCCAAAAAUAAGCGCCCGAAGGUCGUGGUGCCAAAACCCCCCAUCGGAAAAAUGGCCAAAAAACGGGUGGGCUAUAGCCUUGGUGGGGGGCGCGGGCGAAGUUCGUCCGCCGGACUCGGAAUGGGGCGAGACUUUGCGAGGGGCCUCGGGGUGCCAAAAAUAAGCCGCGGGCAAAGCCGCGCCCAAAAAUAAUCGCCCAAAGGUCGUGGUGCCAAAACCCCCCAGCGGAAAAAUGGCCAAAAAACGGGUGGGCUAUAGCCUUGGUGGCGGGCGCUGGCGAAGUUCGUCCGCCGGACUCGGAAUGGGGCGAGACUUUGCGCGGGGCCUCGGGGCGCCAAAAAUAAGCCGCGGGCAAAGCUGCGAUCAAAAAUAAGCGCCCGAAGGUCGUGGUGCCAAAACCCCCCAGCGGAAAAAUGGCCAAAAAACGGGUGGGCUAUAGCCUUGGUGGGGGGCGCGGGCGAAGUUCGUCUGCCGGACUCGGAAUGGGACGAGACUUUGCGCGGGGACUCGGGGCGCCAAAAAUAAGCCGCGGGCAAAGCCGCGCCUAAAAAUAAGCGCCCGAAGGUCGUGGUGCCAAAACCCCCCAGCGGAAAAAUGGCCAAAAAACGGGUGGGCUAUAUCCUUGGUGGGGGGCGCGGGCGAAGUUCGUCCGCCGGACUCGGAAUGGGGCGAGACUUUGGGAGGGGCCCCGGGGCACCAAAAAUAAGCCGCGGGCAAAGCCGCGCCCAAAAAUAAGCACCCGAAGGUCUUGGUGCCAAAACCCCCCAGCGGAAAAAAGGCCAAAAAACGGGUGGGCUAUAGCCUUGGUGGGGGGUGCGGGCGAAGUUCGUCCGCCGGACUUGGAAUGGGGCGAGACUUUGCGAGGGGCCUCAGGGUGCCCGCGGGAAGUCGCGGGCACAGCCGCGUCCAGAAAUAAGCGCCCGAAGGUCGUGGUGCCAAAACCCCCCAGCGGAAAAAUGGCCAAAAAACGGGUGGGCUAUAGCCUUGGUGGGGGGCGCGGGCGAAGUUCGUCCGCCGGACUCGGAAUGGGGCGAGACUUUGCGAGGGGCCUCGGGGUGCCCGCGGGAAGUCGCGGGGACAGCCGCGUCCAAAAAUAAGAGCCCGAAGGUCGUGCGGCCAAAACCCCCCAGCGGAAAAAUGGCCAAAAAACGGGUGGGCUAUAGCCUUGGUGGGGGGCGCGGGCGAAGUUCGUCCGCCGGACUCGGAAUGGGGCGAGACUUUGCGAGGGGCCUCGGGGUGCCCGCGGGAAGUCGCGGGCACAGCCGCGUCCAGAAAUAAGUGCCCGAAGGUCGUGGUGCCAAAACCCCCCAGCGGAAAAAUGGCCAAAAAACGGGUGGGCUAUAGCCUUGGUGGGGGGCGCGGGCGAAGUUCGUCCGCCGGACUCGGAAUGGGGCGAGACUUUGCGAGGGGCCUCGGGGUGCCCGCAGGAAGUCGCGGGCUCAGCCGCGUCCAGAAAUAAGCGCCCGAAGGUCGUGGUGCCAAAACCCCCCAGCGGAAAAAUGGCCAAAAAACGGGUGGGCUAUAGCCUUGGUGGGGGGCGCGGGCGAAGUUCGUCCGCCGGACUCGGAAUGGGAUGAGACUUUGCGAGGGGCCUCGGGGCACCAAAAAUAAGCCGCGGGAAAAGCCGCGCCCCAAAAUAAGCGCCCGAAGGUCGUGGUGCCAAAACCCCCCAGCGGAAAAAUGGCCAAAAAACGGGUGGGCUAUAGCCUUGGUGGGGGGCGCGGGCGAAGUUCGUCCGCCGGACUCGGAAUGGGGCGAGACUUUGCGAGGGGCCUCGGGGUGCCCGCGGGAAAUCGCGGGCACAGCCGCGUCCAGAAAUAAGCGCCCGAAGGUCGUUUUGCCAAAAAACCCGACAGCGGAAAAAUGGCCAAAAAACGGGUGGGCUAUAGCCUUGGUGGGGGGCGCGGGCGAAGUUCGUCCGCCGGACUCGGAAUGGGGCGAGACUUUGCGAGGGGCCUCGGGGUGCCCGCGGGAAGUCGCGGGCACAGCCGCGCCCAAAAAUAAGCGCCCGAAGGUCGUGGUGCCAAAACCCCCCAGCGGAAAAAUGGCCAAAAAACGGGUGGGCUAUAGCCCUGGUGGGGGGCGCGGGCGAAGUUCGUCCGCCGGACUCGGAAUGGGGCGAGACUUUGCGAGGGGCCUCGGGGUGCCCGCGGGAAGUCGCGGGCACAGCCGCGUCCAAAAAUAAGCGCCCGAAGGUCGUGGUGCCAAAACCCCCCAGCGGAAAAAAUGGCCAAAAAACGGGUGGGCUAUAGCCUUGGUGGGGGGCGCGGGCGAAGUUCGUCCGCCGGACUCGGAAUGGGGCGAGAC